Molecule: long non-coding RNA, 276 nt
Filed under: Homo sapiens (human)
Lineage: Eukaryota; Metazoa; Chordata; Mammalia; Primates; Hominidae
Description: non-protein coding lnc-RIMBP3C-2:2
Source: RNAcentral
GUGAGCGGCGCUCGGGGCGCGCUAGGCGGGGAGCCGAGCCGGGCUGGCGGCAGGCGGACGGGGCGGGCGCGUGCGGCGCGAGCCGGGCGCUGAGGACAAGGGCCGCUGGUAGGGCCGGCCGGCCGGCGGGCGGAGCGCCGCCGCCGACGCACACGAGGUGACCAGGCAUUGAUGCACCCCCAGGAAGGCCACGCGCUCAGGAGGCCCCCCCGCCCCGCUGGCUGCUGCUCACAUGGUGUCUGGGCCCUUGGCACUCUGGUGAGGCGCAGGGGAGGG